AGAGUUUGAUCCUGGCUCAGAUUGAACGCUGGCGGCGUGCUUAACACAUGCAAGUCGAGCGGUAAGGCUCCUUCGGGAGUACACGAGCGGCGAACGGGUGAGUAACACGUGAGCAAUCUGCCCUUCACUUUGGGAUAACUUCCGGAAACGGAAGCUAAUACCGAAUACGACCACUUCAGGCAUCUGAUGGUGGUGGAAAGUUCCGGCGGUGAAGGAUGAGCUCGCGGCCUAUCAGCUUGUUGGUGAGGUAAUGGCUCACCAAGGCUUCGACGGGUAGCCGGCCUGAGAGGGUGACCGGCCACACUGGGACUGAGACACGGCCCAGACUCCUACGGGAGGCAGCAGUGGGGAAUAUUGGACAAUGGGCGAAAGCCUGAUCCAGCAACGCCGCGUGAGGGAUGACUGCCUUCGGGUUGUAAACCUCUUUCAGCGGGGACG
This 438-nucleotide ribosomal RNA is filed under the name uncultured bacterium. RNAcentral describes it as "bacterial SSU rRNA". It matches the Rfam family "Bacterial small subunit ribosomal RNA", at positions 8 to 447 of the family's 1533-position model. The record is from RNAcentral.